GCGAGCGUGGUGGAAUUGGUAGACACGCGGUCUUGAGGGGGCCGUGGCCGUAGGCCGUGAGAGUUCGAUUCUCUCCGCUCGCACCA
RNAcentral lists this transfer RNA (86 nucleotides) under Candidatus Lambdaproteobacteria bacterium RIFOXYD12_FULL_49_8. RNAcentral describes it as "tRNA-Leu". It matches the Rfam family "tRNA". Rfam says of the family: Transfer RNA (tRNA) molecules are approximately 80 nucleotides in length. Their secondary structure includes four short double-helical elements and three loops (D, anti-codon, and T loops). The record is from RNAcentral. RNAcentral also lists the same sequence under 1 other name. Lineage: Bacteria; Pseudomonadati; Pseudomonadota; Candidatus Lambdaproteobacteria.